This 497-nucleotide ribosomal RNA is filed under the name uncultured bacterium. RNAcentral describes it as "partial 16S ribosomal RNA". It matches the Rfam family "Bacterial small subunit ribosomal RNA", at positions 28 to 507 of the family's 1533-position model. The record is from RNAcentral.
GAUGAACGCUGGCGGCGUGCCUAAUACAUGCAAGUCGAGCGAACAGACGAGGAGCUUGCUCCUCUGACGUUAGCGGCGGACAGGUGAGUAACACGUGGAUAACCUACCUAUAAGACUGGGAUAACUUCGGGAAGCCGGAGCUAAUACCGGAUAAUAUAUUGAACCGCAUGGUUCAAUAGUGAAAGACGGUUUUGCUGUCACUUAUAGAUGGAUCCGCGCCGCAUUAGCUAGUUGGUAAGGUAACGGCUUACCAAGGCAACGAUGCGUAGCCGACCUGAGAGGGUGAUCGGCCACACUGGAACUGAGACACGGUCCAGACUCCUACGGGAGGCAGCAGUAGGGAAUCUUCCGCAAUGGGCGAAAGCCUGACGGAGCAACGCCGCGUGAGUGAUGAAGGUCUUCGGAUCGUAAAACUCUGUUAUUAGGGAAGAACAAAUGUGUAAGUAACUAUGCACGUCUUGACGGUACCUAAUCAGAAAGCCACGGCUAACUACGUG